Cygnus olor (mute swan) is the source of this 2049-nucleotide long non-coding RNA. RefSeq lists it as uncharacterized. The record is from RefSeq and is a predicted model, not a curated record. The transcript is spliced from 3 exons. Lineage: Eukaryota; Metazoa; Chordata; Aves; Anseriformes; Anatidae.
CUCCUCUGCCCCCUCAGGCCAGGCGCACCGUCAGCCCGGCGGGGCCAGGCACCCAUCGCACCGUGCCCCUCCAGAGCAUCAGCCAGUGAGCUGAGCGCUGCUGCUUCCUGCUACCCAGAUAUGUUCAUCAUGUGAAAGGGAGAGAGCCCCUAAGUGAAGACGGCAGCCAGGAAUGGCAUCUGUAUUCCAUCUGAAUGGAGUGAUUAAAGCCUGGAAAGCCUGACGAAAUACAGGGUUUGUGAAGCGCAGGUGAUCUGGAAGUCCAUGCUGCAUCUGGACCUGCAGUUCUUUUCUGGCAUGUUUAUCCCAUCCAUCCCCCAGCUGCAGUUUCAGCAGGGACUGAAGGGAGGUCAGAGGCGAUUUGCUCCGUAAACACUGAAGCCCACCCCCUGGAACAGAAAUAGCAAGUUGCAUAUAGAUGUCAUUUGAACCCUUCCCUUUCUGCUUAGUCCUUUGUGUGAUUUACGUAAAUGCCAAUGUACAGUCAGUCUCUGUAUAAUAUACAAAGUAAAAAAUCUUUUAAAAAAUAAUAAAAAAAGAUUAAAACAAGAUUGGUUUUAUAGAUAUAAUUAUAUCUUUGAUACUGCCACCUAACAUACCCUUUCCAGCUUAAAAUAAGUGUAGUAUGCCUGAGUGCUUCAAAAAAUCUUAAAAAUAAGCCUACAAAAUACUGACAUUUAGUAUGGAGGAGAAUAUUAAAAAUCUUUGUCCAGUCAAGAAAGACCUGAGGUCAACACCCAGAAUGCUAAUUUGCCUUUACAAUAUUCCAAGCAUACAAACUGCAGUCAAAAUUUGUCUGUGGUUUGUUCUUUUAGGCUUGACAUCUGCUCUGCAUCAUAGUCCCAAAAUCAAAACUGUGUUAGCACAUGUUUAAGCACAGUCUUUCAACAAGAAAUUAAAAAGCUGAGGACCGUGUGAAAUUCUUAUUGCUACAGGGCUCACUUCAAAGGCUGGAGACCCCCUUGCCCAUGGUAAUGGGAGUGACAGGUGAGAGAGAGCAGCGUGAGCUUAAGGGGGUCACAGUCCAAGCCAGCAGGAGAGGAGGAGAAAUUCAAGCAACUCCCAAUUUCUGUGAUUAAAACUAAAUUGCUCCUUACCUCCAUCUUGCUCUUGAAGAGCAGAACAUUACUUUGGGGAUGAAAUAAUAAAGCCAUACUGGCUAAUUACCUUAUAAUUAAAAGUGAACCGAUUACUAAGUCAGGAUCUCUAGUAGUUAACUAAGAAUUUAAUUUACAACUCAUAUAAUGAAGGCUGAGUGUAAAAUUCAUUACAAAGCUCUUAACACUUUUUAUUUUUGAGGAUGAUUUUAGAAUAUAAGAUGUUCUGUUUUCUAGAACUCUUGAAACCUAGCUAAAAAGAUUUGCACAUCCAGCUAAUGAAAUCUAUGGGCUGAUAGAAAGUACAUUGCACAUUUGCACCCUGCAUCUCUGUUUUUGAGGAUUUGGCUGUUCAACGUUUUGCUCUGAUAUUUGACUAGCUCUGCUUUUGAAUAAAAGUUGUGCAGACGUGCACGGAUACGUUAGCUGUCUGGUAUCUUGUCAAAAUAGAAGGUGAAUAAGAGAGAGAUGUGCAGGAGGCAUUAUUCACUUGUGCAGUGCUGUCUAUUGCUUUAUUUUCAUGCUUAUUUCACUUCUAUGCUGUAACUGAAAUUUUUAGUACUAUCUUUUGAAUUACUGUGUAAGAGAAAGAAAUAAAACUAGUUCUGUAGGUAAUGGUUGCAUAUAGGUGCACUGGUUGUGUAUUUAUCAUAUGAACUCAGUGUCUGUACUUGUGUUACAAGUAAAAGCUUAUAUUGGUAACAAUUAAAAAAAAAAAAAAAAAAAAAAGAAUAGAAUAGAAUGAAAACAGCCUGAUCUUGUAGUUUCUGUUUUAUCUACUUGUUUGCAGUGUGUUACAGACUGUGACUUCAGAUCUGCUGCAGAGUAUCAAGAUAAACACAUAAAAUACUAUUGAAAAAGGCUAAUGAGUUCUUUGUGUUUAUAACCAAUUUUUCAUUUUUUUAACUUGACCUACCCACAGUGCUGUGGACUGUGUGUUGUAAACCCUGCA